GGGGCUGUAGCUCAGUUGGCUAGAGCACCUGCUUUGCACGCAGGGGGUCAAGGGUUCGAGUCCCUUCAGCUCCACCA
Molecule: transfer RNA, 77 nt
Filed under: bacterium
Lineage: Bacteria
Description: tRNA-Ala
Rfam family: tRNA
About the family: Transfer RNA (tRNA) molecules are approximately 80 nucleotides in length. Their secondary structure includes four short double-helical elements and three loops (D, anti-codon, and T loops).
Source: RNAcentral